CACAGGCAUUUCUGGCUCCAGACCUUGAGGUUCACAAUCAUUUCCACAGCUGUGUCAGUGCCCAGCAUGCUAAGGAUCCCGGCUAGGCAGCCUUCCUACUGUUCAGAAAAUUUCACUCCUACGGCUUCUUGGCUGGUUUUGAAGAAUCACUGUAUGAGCUCAGAGUCUUAGCUCCAUGGCAAACAUGUCUGCCCCUAUUGGAAGAUGAAGUUGAUAGGUGACAACUGUGUCCAGCAACCCCAAGACCAAGCCACUUAACAAUAGUACCUGUGAAGAAGCCAGCACCAAAGAAGACAGCUUAACUCACUGUGGAGAAGGAGGCAAAGAAGGCUAACACAGGCAACCCAUCACAGGGAAUGAGGACUCCAGGAAGUCCCUCUCACCAGCAGACCCUUGUCUUGCCUACCUAUUCCUCAGCCUUGUCUGCACUUCUGUGAGAGUCAAGUAAAAAUUACCAUUUUUCUCUGUUCCCUAUGAGAGAGAGCACACCUACGCAGGAUACUUUCCAAUACUGAAGAGGCUUAGCUAGAUAGACACCCAGAAGCAAGACUUUCAGUCCCCUGCUCUGAGCAGUGGCUGAGAAAGGCUGAGGGAAGUCAGGGAGACUUGUUAAGCAAGGGCUGUGGAGAGGGAGCCAAAAGAGCUCAGAACAGCAUCCCUGCACUAAAGCCUCUUUCUACAAGGAGAAAUGAAGGGAAGCCAAUGAGCUGAGGACAGGAGCACUGGAGAAGACUGUCACAGAGGACUAUCAAGACAAACAAGGUAAGGAUCAAGGUUCUAGUUGCCCCUUCACCUACUGACCUGCCCUGUGUCCUCUAACUUUCCAACUGCCAUGUUGAUGCCUUGCUUCCCAUUUGUGGGCAUUAAACCCUAUAAUGAAAAUAAUCCUCAUCCUUAAGCUCAAUAACAGUUUGUGUGUGCGGGGGGAGGUUCAAAGGCAGAAGAUGUGAACUUACAGAAGUAAGAACUAGAAGAAAAUGCAGGAAAGGCUGUCUGUAGAUUUAUUGAGGGGGAGGUAAAUAUUUGUAUCAGCAAGUUUGUUCCUGCUUGCAGUUCAACAAGGAACAUUUUAGAAGCUUGCCAGAAAGAAAGGAACAAAGAAAGGAAGGAAGAGAGAAAGAAAGAAAGAAAGAAAGGAAGGAAGGAAGAAAGAAAGAAAGAAGGCAUCAACAUCCACCUGAUGGAAUCAGGCCAAAAAUAGAAAUAUAUUGAAGUUUUAAGGGGCAUUAUAUUGAAAUAUGCAGACAGUAAGGUUAAUUCAGAACCAUGUUCAAGGUAUUCUUUAGCAUUGUGAAUAUAAAGUAAUAUUCUACACAAACUUUAUACUUUCUUUUAAAUGGAGUUCAGCUUCUGAAGGGAAUUAUGUGAUACCUAUUGACUUGUGUUUUUGGUCUAGAAAACAGACUGGGGUGGUGAGGGACUGAAGAAAUGACAGACACACAAACAUGUGUACAGAAAAGCUGGGUCAAGUACGCUGUAUACUCUCUAAUGGAGUGGCAACCACUACUGUACAACCUGGAACAUUUAUUAUGCACAUUAUUAUGAACAGCGUGAGGAGGAUGAGGAGGAGUUAAUCUCAGCCACAGGUCUUUGCAGGUACACAGUCUCAGGCUGUUAGCAUCCAGGAAGCUGCCGUUGGGUAGGUUUUACAAACACCACAACACUUACACUCAGAUGGGAGGAAGAUUUGCCAAUCCCAAGCCUGAUCUGUAUGGAAAAGGCUUUGCCCCCACAUGAAUCUGAGGUCUUGGUUCUUGACAUGGCUGGCUCAUGUCAAAUAAUAAACAUGCACUCAGUCAGGACUUUUCUAAUACCCUACAAUACCAUUCUCUGGAACACGGAAGAGAAAUUCUUUAACAUCGUAGUGUCUUUACAAAAUGGGAUUCCUUUCCCCUUUUGAGAGGUUUACAAUCAUUGCAGAGCAGAUGUGGAGAGUUUUACUCAGGUUUGUAAGGCUCAGUGCAAACUACCUCAUGCCCUGGGCUGGAAAAAACAUAGGAGAAACCCCAGGAGAACGUUAACCCCCUGUAUGAUCUUCUUCCAAAGCCACUGGUGACAGAAUGAUGGAGAGAACCAAAUACUACAGUUUUGAUAAAGGAAUGUAGCAGUAACCCGACUUCUAACAACACUCUGCUAUACCUGUAGAUCAGUGUUCUGCUUAGCUACCAUCUGAGCUGCUUCCUCUUGUAACAGAUGAGAA
This is a long non-coding RNA of Mastomys coucha (southern multimammate mouse), 2200 nucleotides long. RefSeq lists it as uncharacterized. Lineage: Eukaryota; Metazoa; Chordata; Mammalia; Rodentia; Muridae. The record is from RefSeq and is a predicted model, not a curated record. The transcript has 3 exons.